This is a long non-coding RNA of Sapajus apella (tufted capuchin), 2867 nucleotides long. RefSeq lists it as uncharacterized. The record is from RefSeq and is a predicted model, not a curated record. The transcript is spliced from 2 exons. Lineage: Eukaryota; Metazoa; Chordata; Mammalia; Primates; Cebidae.
GAUGGACGUGUAACCUAAAUUGACCUAAUCAAAGUGAAAGGCAGAAAUUUUAUCCAAAGAUGAAAGAGAUUUUCUGUCUCUGCCACUGAACCUAAAGUAGGUCUGCCAUCUUAGAACCUUGAGAGAAGCUAGCCUGAGGACAAAGUCAAUGUGAGGUAGAACCAAAGAUGCAGAGGACCUUGCUGUAACUUCCUGGCGGAGCCCUAAUUUAACUUGCAGUUCUGUGAGAUCACAGAUUUCUUUAUCGUUUCAGCCACUUUGAAUUCAGGCAUUUUUUUUUCUCUUGCAGCCGUAAGUAUUGUGUUUAUUAAAAUACAUAUAAUCAUUUUCUAACUGUUCAAGGUUAAAUCUGAAUUCUCCAAGCAAGUUGUAUUCCUAUUGCCUUGCCUCUAGUAUGGUGGCUUUAACACUUAAUUGUCUGAUGUUGUGAAUAAGAACAAACACGUGAAUGAAUGAUCACACAUUGAAAGAACAGGCAGACCAUAUCAUUUUCAUUACUCUUAUCAAAUACAAUUUAUACAGAGUCGUUAGGAGGCCCCAACAGUAGUUAAUCCACUAAUGCAAACAAUGAAUUGGCAUGGUAACCUUAGUUUUAACACUAUUUUUUGCUGUAACUAAGUGAAAUUCUUUCCAGCUAGCUUAAGCAAAAACGGAGGUCUAUUAUAAGACUAUUGGAGUGGGUCACAUACCAUGGAUUUUACUCCAACUCCAGCCAACAAUUACGUGUGCCAUUGAUGACGGCAGUGUAUCUGGAUCAAAGAAAAUUGAAAUUGAUUACCAAUUAUGAAAAAAACAACCCAUUAAUCCAUAGGGCUCCCUGUGAAUAGGAAGACCAAAAAGAAAAGAUAUCUCCCAAUCUGCUUUUGGGUUUUUUAUUCACUCAAGAGCAAAACACCAUUCUGUGCUAUGUGCUAGGAGACAUCUAUGAAUUUUAUAAAUGGGACAGGCCUGUCAAUCAUCUGGCAUUUAGGACACUGUUUGCUAGCACAGAAGAGGCCUGCAAUGAGUCACAGAUACUGCCAGAAUAUAGCUGUAAGGAGUCAGUUACCAAACGGAGGCCUGGCACUGCCACUGCAUCUCUCCAGCUCUAUGCAGGGCCCAGUGGUGUGUUGAGAGACCCUCAUAAUUUUUAUUCCCCUCCCAACUUAAAAAUCUGAGCUUAAUUUUUGGAAACUGCCUCAGGCACUGGAGGGUAGUAGGAAAUCCCUUCUCAUUGUGUUGUACCAAAUCUGCAAUAUGGUAUUGCCCUGAAGGUAAAAUGUUACUGAAAUGUAAGGAAGUUUCCCUUCAUGGAUUACUUCAAAAAUACAGAUUUUAAAAUUCACUGGCUCAGAGUUUCUGGGGCCUAGAGUGAAACCAUUGUGAUUCUUGAAACUUCAGUUUGCCAGACCCAGUUUCUCAAUUUCACCAUUUGUAAAAUGAUCCUAUCUAACUCAAACCUAAAAGCUCUCAGUUCUGAAGCCAAAAUGCUGUAAAAUUUAAAGUUUAACAACUUAGACAAAACAACAAGCGAGAUUCCUAAACACGACACACAAAAAUCCCUAACGAUACCAGGGAAACAGUAAAUUGAGCUAUAUUAAAAUUAUAAGUAUUCAUUAAAAGACAACAUUAAGAGGGUGAAAAGUCAUCCCGCAAAGCGGGUGAAAAUAUUCACUAUAUGUAUAUAUCCAAGCAGAGACAGGUAUUCAGAAUAAGAGUUUUUACAGGUUAACAAAAAAAAAGUCAGAUAGCUGAAGCCCUCACACACUGCUGGUGGAAAUAUAAAUUAGCACAACCACUCUGAAAAAUUGGCAGGAUCUACUAAAAAUUGGCAGUCACUCUACUAUACCUGGAGUGACUCUACUCCUAGGUAUAUACCCAAUAGAAAUGUGUCUUAAAAAAAAAAUACGGAAAAGAAAAUCUGGAUGCUGGUUGCAUGGGAUGUGUUCAUUUUGGGAAAAGUUCAUUGGGUUAUAUUCUUAGGGUUUGCAUAGUUUUCUUUAUAUAAUAUGCUUCAAUAAAAAGUUUUUUUUUUUUUUAAAGAAACAGCUUCACAGAACAUAAUAAUUUACAUUUAUGGUUCAGCAAAAUUACAAAUAUUUACUUGUAUUAUAUUACUUAUGCUUGAAAUUUAGGUCUCUCAUGAGUUUAAAUCAUACAUAAUGAAUUGAAAAUAUUUAACAUACCAAUGUUUAACAUAAAAUGAUUCUUAAGAUUGAAGGCUUUAAUGAUAGAAUGCCUGGAAUUGAAACCUAUCUCUACCACUUGCUGUGUGACACUGGGUAAAUGAUGCAAUCCUUCUAUGCCUCUGUUUCCUCAUCUGUAAAUGGAAAUACUAAUGGCAUCUACCUUAGAGGGCUGCUGUCAGCAUUCAAUAAGCUAACAUAUGUAGAAGGCUUAGUACCGUUACUGACACACAGAAAGCACUCAGUAAAUGUUUGCCAGUUUUAUUAACAUUAAUGAUUGUUUAACACAUACUUAAAGAUUCUUUACUCUGUUCAAGGCAUAGAGCUGGUUGCCACAGCAAUGAGAGAACCGAAUAAAAUGAUUUAAUCCUUUGUGUUUAAAACCCUGGAGAGCCCAGGGCAAUGACCCACAUAUACUAUACAGUGGAUAAAUAUUUGUUACUGCUGUUCCUGAGAUAGCAGCAUUUAAAUUACAUCUCUAGACUGGCAGGUGGAAAGCCUUAAAUCCAUAUUCAACUUGAAGGUUUUAUUUGAGCACUAGAAAGAGAUUUAACAGUAAUGGUCCAUGAGUCUGGAGAUGGAAAACUGGGAAGUCAAUGAAAAAUAAGUUUAAGUAAUGUGAGUGUUCAGUCCCUAGAGCUAGUGUGAUGUUCCUGUAGCCUACAUGAACAGAGCUAAUGAAAUAAAGAGCCAUGGUAAAAA